GCUUUAGCUUAGUUGGUAAAGCACUCGUCUAGCAUACAAGAGCCGUAGGUUCAAAUCCCACCUGAGCA
Non-coding RNA from Aedes aegypti (yellow fever mosquito), 68 nucleotides. NCBI's taxonomy places the organism in Eukaryota, Metazoa, Arthropoda, Insecta, Diptera, Culicidae. The record is from Rfam.